Musca domestica (house fly) is the source of this 367-nucleotide long non-coding RNA. RefSeq lists it as uncharacterized. The transcript is spliced from 3 exons. NCBI's taxonomy places the organism in Eukaryota, Metazoa, Arthropoda, Insecta, Diptera, Muscidae. The record is from RefSeq and is a predicted model, not a curated record.
CUCAAAUUUGGCAUUCAUAAUCAAUUGUUCGACAAUCAACAGAGGGUACUUUAGCAGGCUCCAACAAAGUUUGCGUAGGCAUGGCGGCAAGGCCGCUCGAUCCAAAUAUUCAAUAGCAAACUUCAGCAACGUCAUACAACGCAAUUUAUCCUUGUUUAAAUUGAGAAAACUCUUGCAUUCAUCUGGCGGAAAGAAUGUUUCCAAUAUUUUCAAUACUGCCACUCUUUAUAAUCUGGAUGCAUAUUUCUUGGGCCGAAAGGAAAUGGGAAGAGCCUCAUGUAGUUCACUAUUAUUAUCAUGAAAUGUUCCCACUUAUUGUAAAUUCCACAACAUAAAGAAUUUAUCUUAUUUCUUAGUUAAGUAUUAA